UGGGGAAUCUUGGACAAUGGGCGCAAGCCUGAUCCAGCCAUGCCGCGUGAGUGAAGAAGGCCUUCGGGUUGUAAAGCUCUUUUACCAGGGACGAUAAUGACGGUACCUGGAGAAUAAGCCCCGGCAAACUUCGUGCCAGCAGCCGCGGUAAUACGAAGGGGGCUAGCGUUGUUCGGAAUUACUGGGCGUAAAGCGCACGUAGGCGGAUUGUUAAGUCAGAGGUGAAAUCCCGGAGCUCAACUUCGGAACUGCCUUUGAUACUGGCAAUCUAGAGUCCGGAAGAGGUUAGUGGAAUUUCCGGUGUAGCGGUGAAAUGCGUAGAGAUCGGAAGGAACACCAGUGGCGAAGGCGGCUACCUGGACAGAUACUGACACUGAGGCGCGAGAGCGUGGGGAGCAAACAGGAUUAGAUACCCUGGUAGUCCCUGAGCGGGCUGGCAAGGCGCAU
RNAcentral lists this ribosomal RNA (447 nucleotides) under uncultured bacterium. RNAcentral's name for it is "bacterial SSU rRNA". It matches the Rfam family "Bacterial small subunit ribosomal RNA", at positions 355 to 825 of the family's 1533-position model. The record is from RNAcentral.